Molecule: unclassified non-coding RNA, 62 nt
Filed under: Homo sapiens (human)
Lineage: Eukaryota; Metazoa; Chordata; Mammalia; Primates; Hominidae
Description: nitric oxide synthase trafficking (ENSG00000275326.4)
Source: RNAcentral
CUUGACAAUGAAGUUGAAAAGACAGCAAAUCUUGUCAUUAGCAACUGGAAUCAGCAAAUUAA